RNAcentral lists this transfer RNA (54 nucleotides) under Heterometrus longimanus. RNAcentral describes it as "tRNA-Gly". The record is from RNAcentral. Lineage: Eukaryota; Metazoa; Arthropoda; Arachnida; Scorpiones; Scorpionidae.
AGUUCUAGUAUAUAAAGUAUAUUUGGUUUCCAACCAAAAGGUCUUAUGGAAUAG